GGAGGGUGCAAGCGUUAAUCGGGAAUUACUGGGGCGUAAAGCGAGUGUAGGCGGCUGCAUAAGUCGGAUGUGAAAGCCCUGGGCUUAACCUGGGAAUGGCAUUCGAUACUGUGCAGCUAGAGUCUGAUAGAGGGAAGUGGAAUUCCGGGUGUAGCGGUGAAAUGCGUAGAGAUCCGGAGGAACACCAGUGGCGAAGGCGGCUUCCUGGAUUAAGACUGACGCUGAGGCUCGAAAGCGUGGGGAGCAAACAGGAUUAGAUACCCUGGUAGUCCACGCCCUAAACGAUGUCAACUAGACGUUGGGCUCAUUUCGGAGUCUAGUGUCGAAGCUAACGCGUUAAGUUGACCGCCUGGGGAGUACGGCCGCAAGGUUG
This 373-nucleotide ribosomal RNA is filed under the name uncultured organism. RNAcentral describes it as "partial 16S ribosomal RNA". It matches the Rfam family "Bacterial small subunit ribosomal RNA", at positions 527 to 896 of the family's 1533-position model. The record is from RNAcentral.